GUUGGAAAAGGGCAGCAGCUCCCGGGAGGAUGCGCCCCCGGCGUGGGAAGCCGAGGAACCGGCGCGCGGCGCGCGGCGCGUGGCGCGUGGCGAGUCGGGGAGAGACUGGUCUUGCUCGCUCAGGAGACCCUCAUCGCCCACAGAGCGCCCGCGGCGACCCGGUCACGGCCCUUCCAUUUCCUGACCCUGCUUAAUGACAGCGAGGUGAAAACAUCUACCAAACGAAGGGUAAAAGGCUGGAGUCCGCCAAAAGCCAAUUUAAGGCUUAACAUUGCAGACCGUUUGUCUUUACAAAAGCUUCAAAGACGGGGCUGCAGCUCCCGGUUAUCCCCACUUUGUCAAGCCAUGAAUCUGAAUGUUCGUGGGGUUGUGUGCAUCGAAUCAGCAAGAGCAAGGCAAGAAUUCAAGAAAUAGUUCUUUUUUAUCCCCCCUUCCAAGUCACAGGUUCAGAGGAUCAUCAUCUUUCUCCCACAUUAGCAAAACAUAUUUGCAUUUUUCAGUGAAGUUCUUUACCGCACGAGUGCCCUAAAAUAGCAAACAGUUCCCUGUUCAAAAGCAAUAGUAAAGAAAUUCGCCGAAGAGUUUAAUUGCCUGGGGACAGCUGCAGUAGUCGCAUCAUCGUCUCUUAUUAAACUGUUGCAGAAAUAUUCGGUCUAGUCCAUGUAUUUUCAACUAAAUAGCACUGCUUACGCAGUUGGUGAUAUGGUGAUAUCACGGAAGUAGCAAUAAACCUUGGUUAUCUUUUUUUUUUUUUUUUUUGAGACGGAGUCUCGCUCCGUCGCCCAGGCUGGAGUGCAACGGCGCGACCUCUACUCACCACAACCUCAGCCUCCCGGAUUCAAGCGAUUCUCCUGCCUCAGCACUACCACCCCCACCAGCCCCCAACCCCUGCCGAGUAACUGGGACUACAGGCGUGCGCCAUCCGUGCCCGCUCAUUUUUGUAUUUUCAGUAGAGACUGGGUUUCACUAUGUUGGCCAGGCUGGUCUCAAACUCCUGACCUCGUGAUCCGCCCACCUCAGCCUCCCAAAGUGCUGGGGGGAUUACAGGUGUGAGCCACCGCGCCCGGCCAACCUUGGUUAUCUUCAAAUGCCUUGUUACCUCAGAUUUUAAAGUGCAUAAGGUUGUAGAACGAUGGUGCCUCUACAGAAGUUUCUUUACAAAUUGUAAUGUGUAGGUUCGUCCUUUAUUUCUUUCUUAUGAAGGUGCACGAAUUGGCUUUACUUUCUGGGGUUGAAUUUUGUAUAAACUCGGUUGAGGAGGCUUGUCAGUUUCCCUUCUAACAGUAAGGUGCUUGAUUAAUGUGAGAGAAAAAAAUUAAUGUUGGUCAUUUUCAGUUACAAUACCAAAAUUUUUUCUGCAUACUUUACUCUGAGUUACUUUUAUAUUUAAUUUGAAAGGCCAUUGUAGGAGAUAAAUUAUCACAUUUUAAGUUACUGUAAAUCAAUAGCUUAGGUAGAAAUUCAUUUAGUCAGAUCCUUCAGAUAUUCUAGGAAUUUCCCCUUUUCACCUGCACUUCACUUCUGUGAAAAAUAAACCGUUCAUCAAAAGUCCUCAUGUACUUUUAUUAAAAGUUCAUUUCCUAUUAUUUUAGAAAAUAGACCACGAAACUAGAGAUUUUCUAUGAACCUGUGAUUUGUUAAAAUGUCUCUUUUAUUCGAAGUACCGUGGGGAAAACCAACUCAAUUUGCCAAAUUUGCAUACAUAUUCUGAAGCUUUUCUUACACUAAUGGCAAACUCAUAUUUCUGUUCCAAUAUUUGCAGAGCCAAUAUAAUUACACGUCAGCUCUUCAUAGCCUUUAUGUAGUAAGAAAUCUUAACUUUGAUGAUUUGAGCAAGGAUUUUUCCAGAAAGUUAUAACUCUCAUUGCGAGAAGCAUCAUAAUCACUGAUAAUACAUUCCACUUGAUAUCAUAAAUGACAAAAUAUAACUUUCUGAUCUUUACCAAAUUGAAUACUGUCUAAAUUUAAGGAAUAUUUAGUAUUUAACAUCGAAGUUGCAUGUGAUCUUAAGAAGUUUGCAUUUAGUACUUUUUUUCAUUUUAUUUUAUUUUAUUUAUUUAUUUUGAGACGGAGUCUUACUCUGUCACCCAGACUGUAGUGCACUGGCGCAGUCUCGGCUCAUUGCAACCUCCACCUCCCAGGUUCAAGCGAUUCUCCUGCCUCAGCCUCCCAAGUAACUAGGACUAUAGGUAUGUGCCACCACGCCCAGCUAAUUGUUGUACUUUUAGUAGAGACGAGGUUUCACCAUGUUGGCCAGGCUGGUCUGGAACUCCUGACCUCAAGUGAUCCACCCGUCUCGGCCUCCCAAAGUGCUAGGAAUACAGGCGUGAGACAGCGCGCCAGGCCUUUUUUCUUGUUAAAUGAUACAAGUCAGAAUAGUCACUCAGGUACUGGCUGAGAUAGUUUACUAGCCAUUAAGCAAACUUACUGUAAAAAAAAAACUGUGCUUACUUGUAGUGUUCCUACUUGAGGGAUUUACUUUUCACUAAGUGUAAUAGAAAAUCCCUCCCCUCAUGAAGUUAUAUUCUGAUGGGGAACACAGACAAAUGAGUAAAAUAUAUGUUAGAUAGUAGUAAAUGCUAACAGAAAAAUGAAAUCAGAAGGGAAAAUGGUAAAACAGUAAGUGCACCAGUGUGAUAACACUAAGGAAUAUGAAAACUGGCCUAUAUUGGCUUCAGUUAACUGGCAAAUUUAACUGAAAAUAGACACAUUACUGAAAAGUUAGAUGUCUAGUGAUUUUUUUCCUUGUGAUAAAAUACACAUAAAAUUUACCAUUGUACUCAUUUUGAAGUGUGCAGAUCAGUAGUGUUACAUACAUUCAUUCAUCCUGUUGUACAGCCAAUCUCCAGAUUUUCAUCUUGCAAAACUGAAACUCUAUAUUCAUUAAACAACUGCCCACUUCCCCUUCCCUCCAGCCCCUGGCAACCACCAAUCAACUUUCUAUUUCUAUGAAUUUGACUACUCUAGAUACCUCAUAUAAAUAGAAUCAUCCAGUAUCUGCCUUUUUGUGACUGGCUUAUUUCACUUGGUAUAAUGCCUUCAGGGUCCAUCAUGUUGUAACAUGUGUCAGCAUUUCCUUACUUUUUUUUUUUUUUUUAAGAUGUACUCUUGCUGUGUCAUCAACACUGGAGUGUAGUGGCAUGAUCUAGGCUCCACCUCCUGGGUUCAAGCAAUUCUCCCACUUCAGCCUCCCAAGUAGCUGGGAUUACAGGUGCCCACCACCACACAAGGCUAAUUUUUGUAUUUUUAGUAGAGACAGGGUUUCACCAUGUUGGCCAGAUUGGUCUCGAACUCCUGACCUCAGGUGAUCCACCCACCUUGGCCUCCCAAAGUGCUGGGGUUACAGGCAUGAGCCACCACCCCUGGCCAUUUCCUUCCUUUUCAAAGCUGAACAAAAUUCUGUUGUGUGUAUAUAACACAUUGUGUGUAUCCAUUCAUCUAUCAAUGAACAUUUAAGUUGUUUCCACCUUUUGGCUAUUGUGAAUAAUGCUGAUAUGAACAUGGGGGUACAAAUAUCUGUUCCUGUCUCUCCUUUCGACUUUUUGGGAUGUAUACUCAAAAGUGGAAUUGCUGGAUCAUAUUUUCUAUGUUUAAUUUUUUGAGGAAUCACCAUACUGUUUUCCAGAGUGGCUGUACCAUUUUACAUUCUCACCAAAAGUGCAUAAGAGUUCCAAUUUCUCCAUGUUUUCACCACCACUGGUUAUUUUCUAUAUUUGUUUAUAGUAGCUAUCCUGUUGGGUAUAAUGUGAUAUCUUACUGUAGUUUUAAUUUGUAUUUCUCUAAUGAUUAGUGAUGUUGAACAUCUUUACCUAUUCUUGUUGCUCAUUUGUAUAUCUUCUUUGGAGAAAUACCUAUUGAAGUUUUUUGCCCAUUUUGUGUAUUUAUUUAUUUAUUUUUGAGACAGAGUCUUGCUCUAUCUCCCAAACUGGAGUACAG
RNAcentral lists this long non-coding RNA (3936 nucleotides) under Homo sapiens (human). RNAcentral describes it as "non-protein coding lnc-AAGAB-3:3". Lineage: Eukaryota; Metazoa; Chordata; Mammalia; Primates; Hominidae. The record is from RNAcentral.